RNAcentral lists this transfer RNA (94 nucleotides) under Gammaproteobacteria bacterium. RNAcentral's name for it is "tRNA-Sec". It matches the Rfam family "Selenocysteine transfer RNA". Lineage: Bacteria; Pseudomonadati; Pseudomonadota; Gammaproteobacteria. The record is from RNAcentral.
GGAAGAGAAUCGUCUCCGGUGAGGCGCGCGGCCUUCAAAGCCGUUGAGAUGCCUAAUUGGUGUCUGGUGGGUUCGACUCCUACCUCUUCCGCCA